Molecule: long non-coding RNA, 2570 nt
Organism: Sphaerodactylus townsendi
Lineage: Eukaryota; Metazoa; Chordata; Lepidosauria; Squamata; Sphaerodactylidae
Exons: 2
Source: RefSeq, a predicted model, not a curated record
UGAGAGCUGAUGGAAUAUGUAGUCCAUAUAACAUCUGAGUGCCAAAGGUUUCACUCACUGGCUGCUAGGGUCAUGAAUCCAGCUUUCAUCAUUUUGUGGCAGGGGCUGUGCAAACUCAUCCAUCCCAGUUGCCUGUUUGAACAUGUGUGAUCAUCAAGAGUCUUUUGUCAUUGGAGGUGAAAUGAUCUACGGUUAGACUAUUUGAUAUAUUUGACUAAAAGGCCAGAUAAUUUUGCACUGAUUUACCCUGACCUGUGGAGGACACCCCCCACCCCACCCCGCUCUCCAAUCAUUGAGGAUUUUUGAAACAUCUAUUCUUCUGGUUGAGGAGUUCUUCCAUUGCAGAUCAGUAUUCAUACAAGCCUAACAGUAUGCCCUUAUUACUACAGGUGUGAUAUGUGAAAGGCGGGCCCUGUAUAUCGCGGUGACCUUGGGAAGGGACCAUUUGCCAGGGGCAGAGAGGCAAUUUACACUCUAGUUCACCACCACUGUGGAGCAUUUACCGUUAGCACCAGUGAGCAAAAACAGUGCCACGCUUCCGUUGUUCUCCAUUGGAAGGGAUGGGAGAAAGUCAGGUAAGGUACUUGGGAACACCACAGAAAUGAAGGUUUGUGUCCUGGUGACCUCUGACCUCUCAGCCACUGUGGCCCAAAAUCUACUUCGGCCAGCAUGGGGUCCCUCUGUAGGUUUUGUUUCUUGUUCUCAGUAAAGAUGAAGGAAUUUAAAGAAUAGCUUUUUUCUCUAUUCCCGUGAAGAAGUGAGUGUGACUAUUUUUGUCCGCACCAGAUAAAUGAGUAUCUAGUCAUAUUACACAGGGUAUCUUGGAACAAGAGGGUGUCUCUGCCCCUCUCUCUUUUGGUAAACACUUUUAACAUUAGCCUUUUUUAGUGCUAAGUCUUAAGACUUAUUUAACGUCUCAGCCUCAGAAGAGCUAGGUCCAAAUCCAGAAAGAUUUUUGGAGUGUGAGCUUUCAAGAGUCAACGCUCCCUUCGUCAGCUUUGACUCUGGGACUUAAUAUCCCGAGAAUCUUUGUUUGUCACUAAGGAGUUAUUGGACUGGAGUGUAGCUUUUCUAUGGCAGAGUAAUAUGACCGUCCUCUGAAACUUAUCUUGUCUUGGUGUUUUCAAGGUGUUUUCAAUCUUUUCAUUAUUCUGAAUGCUAACUCUGGAAUAAAUAGCACACUUGUUCUUUCUCUUGCAAACACUACAAUGUUUCAGAAGAAUCAGCGCCCUGAACAUUCAAGUCUAUCUCCACGGUCUGCUACAGUAAUGGAUCUGUCUGUCCUUUUAAAGGAAUCCCCCUCCCCCAAACAUACUCUUCCAAAACAUUUUAUGAAAGUAGACUCACGAUUCUUGAACCAUUUGUUAUUGUAAAAAAUUCUGAACAACAGUGGACUAAAAUAUCUGUUAGAAUCUGUUUAUAUUCUUUGGGGACACUGUUUGAGGCAUCUAACUGUUUUCUGCCUGUUAACCCGUGUUCUUGGGGGGCAUAUUUUCAUGCUGGGCCAAGUUGGUGUGGCUACCCAAAGAGAUCUGACCAACUCUCUCAAAGUUGGACAGGCGAUCCGAAUACAGUUGGAAUCGUCCCGCACUGAGAGCUUCAGGUGUACAGAGCAUGCAUUGCUUCAAGGAUAUGAAGCCAUCCGUUUCAUCACUGAGGGAAUGGAAUCGGUUUUCCUGAAAGAUAAUGUCUUCGAGACAGAACUGACAGUAGUCGCUGUCUGUCCAAAACUCAGGGCAAUACUUCUUUUAAAAAAAAGGUUGAUAUAUGUAACCUUUGAGAUACACAGCUUUUUUCAUGCUACUGGAAGCCCAUUAAAAAUAUUUUUCCACACCUUGGUUAAAAAAUUGGCAGAACUACUGGGAACCCGGAUGAGGAAUUGUUUUGAGGGAGCCACAUCUGUCUUCUGGGCCACUCAGCUGACUAUAGCAUAAAACCCCUGUUAAUCACGCCAUUUAAAUGAUUCUGUCAAUAACCCCUAAAUGUUUCCUGGUUCCACUUAAACCCUAUAAUCCCCGAGAAUGCAGAGAUCUCAAUAUGCAUAAGAUUGCCAUCUUGGUUCUUUUAUCUUUUACCCCAUUCCCGUCUGUUUUUAUUUAAUGCUGACCUUCUUAACUAGCUAAUUAUUAAUAUUUCACCCAUGUGGCUAUAUCUAGGGUCUUUAGGACAAGUUAAUGCUUAAACGGUUGAAAUCCUGUGUCCGAAAGAGAGGGAGCGGUGAUUUUCUUUAGAACGCAGAGUUUGCGCUAAUGAUGAUUUUUUUUAAUUGCAAAAAAAAAGUAUUUAUUUUGUUUGAAAACCAACAUGUAAUUUAAUCAUUUAUCAUAUUUGUUUUCCAAAGUGCUUUUGUUUAAAAAAAAAAGUUGAAAAGGGAAAAAAAACAUUCUGGAAUUGGGGUGACUUAGAUGUUUGUAAUACAGAGAGGGCUCCCGUCAUCUUCAGCAUUUGAUAGACUGUUAAAGGAAGGGAGAGUACAAUUCUUCGUGGCAAUUCAGUUUUGUUUAUGGAACACCCUAAACCGCUGUAUGCUAUAAAAUGCAUCAUCUAAGUAAUAAAAGUUUCGAGCUUGA